This 340-nucleotide ribosomal RNA is filed under the name Penicillium sp. PDA2. Its description in RNAcentral is "SSU rRNA". It matches the Rfam family "Eukaryotic small subunit ribosomal RNA", at positions 391 to 730 of the family's 1831-position model. The record is from RNAcentral. Lineage: Eukaryota; Fungi; Ascomycota; Eurotiomycetes; Eurotiales; Aspergillaceae.
GGAGCCUGAGAAACGGCUACCACAUCCAAGGAAGGCAGCAGGCGCGCAAAUUACCCAAUCCCGACACGGGGAGGUAGUGACAAUAAAUACUGAUACGGGGCUCUUUUGGGUCUCGUAAUUGGAAUGAGAACAAUUUAAAUCCCUUAACGAGGAACAAUUGGAGGGCAAGUCUGGUGCCAGCAGCCGCGGUAAUUCCAGCUCCAAUAGCGUAUAUUAAAGUUGUUGCAGUUAAAAAGCUCGUAGUUGAACCUUGGGUCUGGCUGGCCGGUCCGCCUCACCGCGAGUACUGGUCCGGCUGGACCUUUCCUUCUGGGGAACCUCAUGGCCUUCACUGGCUGUG